CAAGGAAUGAAAACCUUAGAUAUAUCACAGAAACUUCAUCGUACUGGUAAAAGAUUUGUGGCUGAGUCACAGCACACACGGGUUACAUGCAGAUAAAGGCACAAUGAGGAAGGUUUCUGCCACACAAAUAUAUCGGAUUAGGAGCCACAUGAACGUCAAGGUGUGGAAUCCUCCAGAGACUUGGAGUUAUGCAUAUGCAUAUGCAUAUGUGCCAUUCUUUUUUAAGAUCGACAUGCCCUGUAAGGACAUGAAGAGGAAACGGUGACAAAAGGAGCUAUGCGCCUCACACAGCUGGAUUAAAAAGAGCACAGAUGGACAGCAAGUGGAGAGUGAUAGAUGAGAUGAGGAGAUGGAAGCAGGAAGACAGGCAAAGAUCUCAGAUCAACACAGCCCUGCCCUCCAGCAUUCUCAGCAGCAGGAGCAGCAGUGACCACUCAACAGCAACAUUGUACCCCAUCAGGUAAAACGUAGGCUGUGUUUGCUUCACAUUGUCCCCACCUGAUGACAGUAAUGAAGACUGUGUCCAAAUUCAUUUGAAGGAUGCUUCAAAUGCCGUAUUUGUCACAGCGACGCGACAAAGCCUGUCCAAAUUCGAAGAGUCCUCCAAAUGUGGUGACAAAUGCGUCCUUCAUUUCCUCGAAUUUUAAAGAUGGGUAGGCUGUAUCCUUCGUGUUCUACCAUAUCCCAGG
Molecule: long non-coding RNA, 689 nt
Organism: Oreochromis aureus
Lineage: Eukaryota; Metazoa; Chordata; Actinopteri; Cichliformes; Cichlidae
Exons: 4
Source: RefSeq, a predicted model, not a curated record